UUCGGGAGGGCGUUUACCACGGUGUGAUUCAUGACUGGGGUGAAGUCGUAACAAGGUAACCCUAGGGGAACCUGGGGUUGGAUCACCUCCUUACCUUAA
This 99-nucleotide ribosomal RNA is filed under the name Aeromonas veronii. RNAcentral describes it as "partial 16S ribosomal RNA". It matches the Rfam family "Bacterial small subunit ribosomal RNA", at positions 1441 to 1533 of the family's 1533-position model. RNAcentral also lists the same sequence under 1 other name. The record is from RNAcentral. Lineage: Bacteria; Pseudomonadati; Pseudomonadota; Gammaproteobacteria; Aeromonadales; Aeromonadaceae.